GACGAACGCUGGCGGCGUGCCUAAUACAUGCAAGUUGAGCGCUGAAGGUUGGUACUUGUACCAACUGGAUUAGCAGCGAACGGGUGAGUAACGCGUGGGGAAUCUGCCUUUGAGCGGGGGACAACAUUUGGAAACGAAUGCUAAUACCGCAUAAAAACUUUAAACACAAGUUUUAAGUUUGAAAGAUGCAAUUGCAUCACUCAAAGAUGAUCCCGCGUUGUAUUAGCUAGUUUGUGAGGUAAAGGCUCACCAAGGCGAUGAUACAUAGCCGACCUGAGAGGGUGAGAGGCCAACUUGGGAAUGAGAAACGGCCCAAACUCCUAGGGGAGGCAGCAGUAGGGAAUCUUCGGCAAUGGAAGAAAGUCUGACCAAGCAACGCCGCGUGAGUGAAGAAGGUUUUCGGAUCGUAAAACUCUGUUGGUAGAGAAGAACGUUGGUGAGAGUGGAAAGCUCAUCAAGUGACGGUAACUACACAGAAAGGGACGGCUAACUACGUG
RNAcentral lists this ribosomal RNA (497 nucleotides) under uncultured bacterium. RNAcentral describes it as "partial 16S ribosomal RNA". It matches the Rfam family "Bacterial small subunit ribosomal RNA", at positions 28 to 507 of the family's 1533-position model. The record is from RNAcentral.